RNAcentral lists this long non-coding RNA (2105 nucleotides) under Panax ginseng (ginseng). RNAcentral describes it as "long non-coding RNA (PGIN_LNC008537)". The record is from RNAcentral. Lineage: Eukaryota; Viridiplantae; Streptophyta; Magnoliopsida; Apiales; Araliaceae.
UCAUACUCUGCCCCCUCUCUCUCUUAAAGCGACUGACGACGCAUCUGAUAAGGAACAUACCGACGUUAAAACUCAAUUGAAGAUCAGAUUCAACCAUCCCAAUCUCUCUCUAACUCUUCCCUCUCUCCCUCAAAGCGACCGACGACGCAUCUGAUAAGGAAUAGACCGAUGUAAAGCUCCGGCCGAAACAAACAGAAAGGGACCAAUCGACGCAAACGGAAAGGGACUGACGCAAACAGAAAGUGAAGGUAUUUCACUUUAUUAAUUUUGUAAUUUCUGUUUAAACCAAAUGAAAUCUAGAGUUUAUUAAGGGGUUUUAAUUUAAGAUUACAUUAAAUUGAUAGGACCAACUGUGGAAUUUCAUAGUUGAAUUCUAGGAUUUAUUCGGCACCUCUAUAAUUUGAUGUUGGUACAUGUUAUUAGAUUUUUUUUGGUUUUGUUUUACCUGUUGAAGCCUCAUUUUUGAAAUGUAGCUCAAAUUUUGGAACGGAAUGAGUAUUUAAGUUUGGGUACAGAAAAUUAUUCUUCAAAUUUUAGAAAAAAUGUGGUUGGCCAAAUAAGAAGUACUUGUAAUUUUAUAUAGUUUGUUGUUCUUCUAUUCUAUUAUAUCCCUUCAAGUUGUCUGUUUGUUUUUAGGAAAGAAAUAAUGGUACCAGCUAUGCUGCAUAUAGGAGUUCCUAAUUUGCCAUAAAAUAAACACUAUCAUGAUUCAUGUAGAACCUACUGUAUUUCUACAAUUAUUAGACAUGUUAUUGAAUAUUUUUUUUGGUUUUGUUUUACCUGUUGAAGCAUCAUUUUUGAAAUGUAGCUCAAAUUUUGGAACGAAAGGAGUAUUUAAGUUUGCACAUAGUGCAUAGACAAUUUUUAUUGUCAACCAUAAGUUUAAUACAAUAUUGAAAAAUAAUCAGAAGACAUUUAUUCCGGCUUCAUACAUACUAUAUAUGCCAAACAAAUGCCUACUUAGAACUCUUCAGUUUUGAUUGCAAUAAGUUAGCAGAAGAAUUAAGAAUGAAAAUAGGAGAUCAACAUUGUCUAAAUAUUGUUCAUGUAAUUCUUCUGAUAAUCUUUAAAGUAUGUAAUCUACGAACAAACCAAUGUAAUUUUACAAACAAUAUUAAGGGGACAUUUGAAUCAUUUUACAAACAAAACUCUACGACCUUCAUGUGGUUUUUUUUCCAGCUCAUCAUGUCAUGCAUAAAGAUGAAUAGGCCUGGGAUUGCGGAAAAUGCUAUAAUAAAAACCAAUAAUACCUUGCAGCUCAUUAUAUUUGUGGAAGAUGAAAACGUGGUAAAACGUGAUAAAAUCAUCCUUUAAUGCAAAUAAAUUCUAGCGUUUGAUGCUCAAAAAUCCUUUAUUAGUAUAUUUUACAAGAUUACUCCCUCCUUUUCUUAGCUUACUGCAGUGUUAUACUCUAUUAAGUGACGUAAUUCAUUCAAAUAUACAAUUUGGAAUUAUUGUUGAUCUUUUGUAUGCCUGUAUGCUGAUAGAAAAUAUGUCAUCAAAUUCGUCUACUGCUACAUCCGUAUGGCCUCUGUUCAUAUGUCGUUGUGGUAUGGGCCCUUGUAUAGUAAAACUUUCAAUGUCGGAAAAGAAUCCGGGUAGACACUAUUAUUCUUGCCCAAGAAUGGUAUGUAUUUAUUUAUUAUUUUUUUUGUAUAUUUGUUCCUUUUACACAAGUCCAGAUGUUUAUUGUGUCCCAAUAUAUGCAGCAAUGUGGUAACUUCAUCAGCUGGUGUGACGAAUAUGUUCGAGUGUUGCAUAAUCAAGGGAGGUUGCAAAUGGACACAUCGGAGCGUUUAAAUGUAACAACUCAUCCAACGAUUGCUAAUGACUCCAACGAAUUAGCCAUGAUGAAAAUUGAAAUUCGUCAAUUGCAAUUAACUCAACGAUUUAUCAUAAUUGUUAAUGUUAUGUAUGCGGUGUUGUUGUUAAUGUUAUUAAAUCGGUUGUAAUUUUGAUAAUUUCAUUAUAUGGUGUUGUUGUUAAUGUUAUUAAAUCGGUUGUAAUGUUGAUAAUUUUUAUUAUCAAACCAUGUAAUCUAUGUGACAAAAUGUGUCUCACUUGUCAUUCUAGUGUUGUAACCUUUUACUUUUAUUACAAUGGUG